This 497-nucleotide ribosomal RNA is filed under the name uncultured bacterium. RNAcentral's name for it is "partial 16S ribosomal RNA". It matches the Rfam family "Bacterial small subunit ribosomal RNA", at positions 28 to 507 of the family's 1533-position model. The record is from RNAcentral.
GAUGAACGCUGGCGGCGUGCCUAAUACAUGCAAGUCGAGCGAACAGAUGAGGAGCUUGCUCCUCUGACGUUGGCGGCGGACGGGUGAGUAACACGUGGAUAACCUACCUAUAAGACUGGGAUAACUUCGGGAAACCGGAGCUAAUACCGGAUAAUAUAUUGAACCGCAUGGUUCAAUAGUGAAAGACGGUUCUGCUGUCACUUAUAGAUGGAUCCGCGCCGCAUUAGCUAGUUGGUAAGGUAACGGCUUACCAAGGCAACGAUGCGUAGCCGACCUGAGAGGGUGAUCGGCCACACUGGAACUGAGACACGGUCCAGACUCCUACGGGAGGCAGCAGUAGGGAAUCUUCCGCAAUGGGCGAAAGCCUGACGGAGCAACGCCGCGUGAGUGAUGAAGGUCUUCGGAUCGUAAAACUCUGUUAUUAGGGAAGAACAAAUGUGUAAGUAACUAUGCACGUCUUGACGGUACCUAAUCAGAAAGCCACGGCUAACUACGUG